This 76-nucleotide small nuclear RNA is filed under the name Homo sapiens (human). RNAcentral's name for it is "partial ncRNA". The record is from RNAcentral. Lineage: Eukaryota; Metazoa; Chordata; Mammalia; Primates; Hominidae.
AGAUCACAAGACCCCAGGAGACUGAGAGUGCAGUGAGCUGAGAUCACACCACUACACUCCAGCCUGGGCGACAGAG